RNAcentral lists this ribosomal RNA (545 nucleotides) under uncultured bacterium. Its description in RNAcentral is "bacterial SSU rRNA". It matches the Rfam family "Bacterial small subunit ribosomal RNA", at positions 776 to 1319 of the family's 1533-position model. The record is from RNAcentral.
AAUAAGAUACCCCGGUAGUCCACGCCGUAAACGAUGAGUGCUAAGUGUUAGGGGGUUUCCGCCCCUUAGUGCUGCAGCUAACGCAUUAAGCACUCCGCCUGGGGAGUACGGUCGCAAGACUGAAACUCAAAGGAAUUGACGGGGGGCCCGCACAAGCGGUGGAGCAUGUGGUUUAAUUCGAAGCAACGCGAAGAACCUUACCAGGUCUUGACAUCCCAUUGACCGCUAUGGAGACAUAGCUUUCCCUUCGGGGACAGUGAUGACAGGUGGUGCAUGGUUGUCGUCAGCUCGUGUCGUGAGAUGUUGGGUUAAGUCCCGCAACGAGCGCAACCCUUGUUCUUAGUUGCCAUCAUUUAGUUGGGCACUCUAAGGAGACUGCCGGUGACAAACCGGAGGAAGGUGGGGAUGACGUCAAAUCAUCAUGCCCCUUAUGACCUGGGCUACACACGUGCUACAAUGGACGGUACAAACGGUUGCCAACCCGCGAGGGGAGCUAAUCCGAUAAAACCGUUCUCAGUUCGGAUUGUAGGCUGCAACUCGCCUAC